Brassica napus (rape) is the source of this 942-nucleotide long non-coding RNA. RefSeq lists it as uncharacterized. The transcript is spliced from 3 exons. Lineage: Eukaryota; Viridiplantae; Streptophyta; Magnoliopsida; Brassicales; Brassicaceae. The record is from RefSeq and is a predicted model, not a curated record.
UUUAAAGCCCAGUUAAAAUUAGGUUGUUUCGUCGUCUCCCCUUGGACCUUCAAAGAUUAUCGAAAGUUCCAGAAAACUUAAACGUCGUUCACCUCUCCGUAACGUCACGAGACUCACGACCUUUCAUUGAUUCAUUCUUUACUCUGAUCUUCUAUGUAAUUAACCCACUUCACCCACUCUGCAACAUUCAAUUGAGCUCAUCGCAUCUCCCAAAGUAAUCAACUGAAGCUACGACUAUAAAUCUCUAAUCUUCCAACUGUGAACAGCAAAACUUCGACCAGAUCGAGGAUAAUAAUCUAUUCGUGACGUUACAUCUAUACGAAUAGAGAUUCUAAAUACUCUUUUUUCCAGUUCAUUAACUUAAUCCCAUAUGAAGCUAUUUGUGUUGUUUACAUCUGAUGGAUAUGGUCUUCUCUUGGAAAGGAUAUCAAGGGAUGCUAGGAAAGCUGUUUUCUUGCAGCAUGGUGUUUUAGAUUCUUGAAUGGGAUGGGUACCAAAUGGAGUUGUUGGAUCCCCUGCUUUUACUGCUUAUGAUCAAGUUAUUUCAGGUGGAUCCUGAAUAAAUGCAGUUUCCGGAAUUACUCCGUCAACGAGGCAUGCAAGAGAUGAUAUCCCCGCAAUGAUAGAGAAGAUUCACAAAAUCAAAACUUCAGAAUUCAGACUCUACCAGCCUAAUGUGGAAGAGGUAGUACACGAGGAGCAACCUUAUAAGCUCUACGUUAUCUAUGAAUUAUGGAAAGCUAUGCUUUUAUAAAGUUACAUGUAGCAUGUCUGUAGUUUCUUUUGUUCUUGAGACUGGCUUAGAACACAUUAGAUGCAUGUAUGAGACUGUAUUCUAUUUAAGUCAUCUACCCAAACUAGAAUACAAAAAGGGAGACACAUAUGUUACAAACUUUGUAUGAUGUUUGUUGUUACAAAUGUAUAGACGAGUUUCUACAAAAA